GACGAACGCUGGCGGCGUGCUUAACACAUGCAAGUCGAACGGUGAAGCGCCUUCCUUUUUGGUGGGUGUGGAUGAGUGGCGAACGGGUGAGUAACACGUGAGUAACCUGCCCCCUUCUUCUGGAUAACCGCAUGAAAGUGUGGCUAAUACGGGAUAUUCUGGGUCUGUCGCAUGAUGGGUCUGGGAAAGAUAUUGUUUCGGUGGGGGAUGGGCUCGCGGCCUAUCAGCUUGUUGGUGGGGUGAUGGCCUACCAAGGCGGUGACGGGUAGCCGGCCUGAGAGGGUGGACGGUCACACUGGGACUGAGACACGGCACAGACUCCUACGGGAGGCAGCAGUGGGGAAUAUUGCACAAUGGGCGCAAGCCUGAUGCAGCGACGCCGCGUGAGGGAUGGAGGCCUGCGGGUUGUGAACCUCUUUCGCCAGUGAAGCAGGCCUGCCUCGUUUGUGGGUGGGUUGACGGUAGCUGGAUAAGAAGCGCCGGCUAACUACGUG
RNAcentral lists this ribosomal RNA (494 nucleotides) under uncultured bacterium. RNAcentral's name for it is "partial 16S ribosomal RNA". It matches the Rfam family "Bacterial small subunit ribosomal RNA", at positions 28 to 507 of the family's 1533-position model. The record is from RNAcentral.